GAUGUACUCCCUCCAUCCAGAAAAACUUGUCUCAACCUUGUUCCUCAAAUGGAUGUAUCUAGCACUAACUUGAUGGUAGAUACAUCCAUUUGAGGGACAAGUUUUCCCGGAUGGAGGGAGUAGUGU
Molecule: non-coding RNA, 126 nt
Organism: Triticum aestivum (bread wheat)
Lineage: Eukaryota; Viridiplantae; Streptophyta; Magnoliopsida; Poales; Poaceae
Source: Rfam